GACGAACGCUGGCGGCGUGCCUAAUACAUGCAAGUCGAACGAAGCUGUUUUAACUGGUGCUUGCACCGACUUAAACAACUGAGUGGCGAACGGGUGAGUAACACGUGGGUAACCUGCCCCAAAGCGGGGGAUAACAUUUGGAAACAGAUGCUAAUACCGCAUAACCACAGAAACCACAUGGUUUCUGUGUCAAAGAUGGUUUCGGCUAUCACUUUGGGAUGGACCCGCGGCGUAUUAGCUAGUUGGUAAGGUAAUGGCUUACCAAGGCAAUGAUACGUAGACGAACUGAGAGGUUGAUCGGCCACAUUGGGACUGAGACACGGCCCAAACUCCUACGGGAGGCAGCAGUAGGGAAUCGUCCACAUUGGACGAAAGUCUGAUGGAGCAACGCCGCGUGAGUGAAGAAGGUUUUCGGAUCGUAAAACUCUGUUGUCAGAGAAGAACGUGUGCGAGAGUAACUGUUCGUGCAGUGACGGUAUCUGGCCAGAAAGCCACGGCUAACUACGUGCCAGCCGCCGCCGUAA
This 524-nucleotide ribosomal RNA is filed under the name uncultured bacterium. Its description in RNAcentral is "partial 16S ribosomal RNA". It matches the Rfam family "Bacterial small subunit ribosomal RNA", at positions 28 to 523 of the family's 1533-position model. The record is from RNAcentral.